This 523-nucleotide ribosomal RNA is filed under the name uncultured bacterium. RNAcentral's name for it is "bacterial SSU rRNA". It matches the Rfam family "Bacterial small subunit ribosomal RNA", at positions 355 to 896 of the family's 1533-position model. The record is from RNAcentral.
UUAGGAAUCUUGGACAAUGGGCGCAAGCCUGAUCCAGCCAUGCCGCGUGAGUGAUGAAGGCCUUAGGGUUGUAAAGCUCUUUCAGCGGGGAAGAUAAUGACGGUACCCGCAGAAGAAGCCCCGGCUAACUUCGUGCCAGCAGCCGCGGUAAUACGAAGGGGGCUAGCGUUGCUCGGAAUCACUGGGCGUAAAGCGCACGUAGGCGGGUCUUUAAGUCAGGGGUGAAAUCCUGGAGCUCAACUCCAGAACUGCCUUUGAUACUGAGGAUCUCGAGUCCGGGAGAGGUGAGUGGAACUCCGAGUGUAGAGGUGAAAUUCGUAGAUAUUCGGAAGAACACCAGUGGCGAAGGCGGCUCACUGGCCCGGUACUGACGCUGAUGUGCGAAAGCGUGGGGAGCAAACAGGAUUAGAUACCCUGGUAGUCCACGCCGUAAACGAUGGAUGCUAGCCGUUGGCGGGUUUACUCGUCAGUGGCGCAGCUAACGCAUUAAGCAUCCCGCCUGGGGAGUACGGUCGCAAGAUUA